Molecule: signal recognition particle RNA, 300 nt
Filed under: Cavia porcellus (domestic guinea pig)
Lineage: Eukaryota; Metazoa; Chordata; Mammalia; Rodentia; Caviidae
Description: Metazoan signal recognition particle RNA
Rfam family: Metazoan signal recognition particle RNA
About the family: The signal recognition particle (SRP) is a universally conserved ribonucleoprotein. It is involved in the co-translational targeting of proteins to membranes. The eukaryotic SRP consists of a 300-nucleotide 7S RNA and six proteins: SRPs 72, 68, 54, 19, 14, and 9.
Source: Rfam by way of RNAcentral
GCCGGGCGUGGUGGCGCGCGCCUGUAGUCCCAGCUACUCGGGAGGCUGAGGUGGGAGGAUCGCUUGAGUCCAGGAGUUCUGGGCUGCAGUGCGCUAUGCCGAUCGGGUGUCCGCACUAAGUUCGGCAUCAAUAUGGUGACCUCCCGGGAGCGGGGGACCACCAGGUUGCCUAAGGAGGGGUGAACCGGCCCAGGUCGGAAACGGAGCAGGUCAAAACUCCCGUGCUGAUCAGUAGUGGGAUGGCGCCUGUGAAUAGCCACUGCACUCCAGCCUGGGCAAUAUAGUGAGACCCUGUCUCUA